This 468-nucleotide ribosomal RNA is filed under the name uncultured bacterium. RNAcentral's name for it is "partial 16S ribosomal RNA". It matches the Rfam family "Bacterial small subunit ribosomal RNA", at positions 28 to 507 of the family's 1533-position model. The record is from RNAcentral.
GACGAACGCUGGCGGCGUGCUUAACACAUGCAAGUCGAACGGAAAGGCCCUGCUUUUGUGGGGUGCUCGAGUGGCGAACGGGUGAGUAACACGUGAGUAACCUGCCCUUGACUUUGGGAUAACUUCAGGAAACUGGGGCUAAUACCGGAUAGGAGCUCCUGCUGCAUGGUGGGGUUUGGAACGUUUCGGCGGUUGGGGAUGGACUCGCGGCUUAUCAGCUUGUUGGUGGGGUAGUGGCUUACCAAGGCUUUGACGGGUAGCCGGCCUGAGAGGGUGACCGGCCACAUUGGGACUGAGAUACGGCCCAGACUCCUACGGGAGGCAGCAGUGGGGAAUAUUGCACAAUGGGCGGAAGCCUGAUGCAGCAACGCCGCGUGCGGGAUGACGGCCUUCGGGUUGUAAACCGCUUUCGCCUGUGACGAAGCGUGAGUGACGGUAAUGGGUAAAGAAGCACCGGCUAACUACGUG